AUCUUGUAUUUCUAAAUAUUUAUAAUACAUGACAAACAUAAAGUUUACAUUCUUUUAUGUUUUUAGAGUACAUUAAAAUAUUAUCUAAAUAAUAGACAACAAAAGAUAUUAUUCAUGAGAUUUUUGUUGAGAUCAUUAAAUGUAGUCGGUGCUCUCCAUAAUAUUUACUGUAGACUACAGUAAUUACUAUAGCUAUAAUAUUUAGAGUCUAGUGGAGAAGUACUAUUUAUCCUCUCCUCUUUUCUCUUCUUUUAUACGAAAUACAACUAGAUGAAUAGAUUUUGUGUAGUUGAAGCUCUCUCUCCUUAAAAACCCUCUUGUGUGUAUGACUUACUACUAUCACAAUUUUUUGCUCUAGUCUUUGACUCUUCAAACUUGUUGCUACCUUUGCUCACUAUCUACCUCAUGAUCUUGUUCUUCUUGUUGGCCCCUCACACAUUAGCUGCUUGCUUAAAGCACUUGUUCCACUUUUUUUCUUGCUUGCUUAAAAUACUUGAUCCAACCCAAUUCUACCCCAGCUUGCUCCCUGCUCCUUGCUACAUCCCGCACUUGUUGCCUAACAACUGCCAAACACCCUGAAACAGCCGCUAAAUCCGCCACUGCCACCGCUACCAUCUUGUUGUCGCUGACGUUGUCCUUGCCGCCAUCACCGUUCUAACGCCACUGCC
This 668-nucleotide long non-coding RNA is filed under the name Physcomitrium patens. Its description in RNAcentral is "long non-coding RNA (PPAT_LNC002618)". Lineage: Eukaryota; Viridiplantae; Streptophyta; Bryopsida; Funariales; Funariaceae. The record is from RNAcentral.